ACAUCCAGAGAAUUUAGCAGAGAUGCUUUAGUGCCUUCGGGAACUCUGAGACAGGUGCUGCAUGGCUGUCGUCAGCUCGUGUUGUGAAAUGUUGGGUUAAGUCCCGNAACGAGCGCAACCCUUAUCCUUUGUUGCCAGCACGUAAUGGUGGGAACUCAAAGGAGGCUGCCGGUGAUAAACCGGAGGAAGGUGGGGAUGACGUCAAGUCAUCAUGGCCCUUACGAGUAGGGCUACACACGUGCUACAAUGGCGCAUACAAAGAGAAGCGACCUCGCGAGAGCAAGCGGACCUCAUAAAGUGCGUCGUAGUCCGGAUUGGAGUCUGCAACUCGACUCCAUGAAGUCGGAAUCGCUAGUAAUCGUAAAUCAGAAUGUUACGGUGAAUACGUUCCCGGGCCUUGUACACACCGCCCGUCACACCAUGGGAGUGGGUUGCAAAAGAAGUAGAUAGCUUAACCUUCGGGAGGGCGUUUACCACUUUGUGAUUCAUGACUGGGGUGAAGUCGUAACAAGGUAGGCGUAGUGCU
RNAcentral lists this ribosomal RNA (526 nucleotides) under uncultured bacterium. Its description in RNAcentral is "bacterial SSU rRNA". It matches the Rfam family "Bacterial small subunit ribosomal RNA", at positions 984 to 1509 of the family's 1533-position model. The record is from RNAcentral.